GACGAACGCUGGCGGCGUGCCUAACACAUGCAAGUCUAGGGAGAAAGGGGUAGCAAUAUCCCGAGUACACCGGCGCAAGGGUGAGUAACACGUAGGCAACCUGCCUUCAGGACGGGAAUAACCCCGAGAAAUACGAGACUAAUACCCGACUAAUGUUCCGCUGCAGCAUUGCAGCGGCAUUAAAAGUACGCAAGACGCCUGGAGAUGGGCC
This 211-nucleotide ribosomal RNA is filed under the name uncultured bacterium. Its description in RNAcentral is "partial 16S ribosomal RNA". It matches the Rfam family "Bacterial small subunit ribosomal RNA", at positions 28 to 231 of the family's 1533-position model. The record is from RNAcentral.